AUGACUUUGAUCUGCGUCCUCAUCUGGACUCUCCUCUGCUGCUGCUUCACAGAGUCCAGAGGACAGGUCACAGUGACUCAGCCUGGAGCAGUGAGCUCUGCUCCGGGAGGCUCCGUCUCCAUCAGCUGUAGGACCAGUCAUAGAGUAGAUGGAGUGGAUCUGUCUUGGUACCAACAGAGAGAUGGAGAAACUCCUGAACUGCUUAUUCACACUACUAGCUCUCGUCAGUCAGGGACUCCAGAUCGUUUUACAGGCAGUGGAUCAAACUCUGACUUCACUCUGACCAUCAGUGGAGUUCAGACUGAGGAUGCAGCAGUUUACUACUGCAUGGGGGAAUUCUAUCCCAACAGUCAGUGGGUGUUCACACAGUGAAAAAGCGUCGUACAAAAACCUCCCUCAGUCAGCAGAACAGAAACUGAACUUACUGCUGCAGGUGGAAGCUACUGCAGAGACUGACACA
Molecule: non-coding RNA, 460 nt
Organism: Centropristis striata (black sea bass)
Lineage: Eukaryota; Metazoa; Chordata; Actinopteri; Perciformes; Serranidae
Source: the annotation of a RefSeq genome assembly